UUUUUCAUACAUGUUCCUAGGUAUUAUACCUAUGUUUCCUAGUUGUUUCCAACACUCCAAGGUACUUCUAAAAGUCAAGAACUCAUCCGUAACAUGUGAUCAAACACCUUGAAUCCAAAAUUUCAAUUCAAGGUGAGUUAGUUAGAAGUCAAGUGAAGUUAGAAGUUAAGAGUUAAGCUUAGAAGUUAAGCAAGUCAAGCAAGUUGUAAAGUUGUUCAAGAGUCUUUAUUGAACGUUUUAACUUCAUUUUUAGACUCAAGUGUCAAGUCAAGCAAAGAGCUUAGAGUUUCAAGCUAAGUAAAGAGUCUCAAAUUUCAAGUUGAGUAAAG
Molecule: long non-coding RNA, 329 nt
Filed under: Solanum tuberosum (potato)
Lineage: Eukaryota; Viridiplantae; Streptophyta; Magnoliopsida; Solanales; Solanaceae
Description: long non-coding RNA (STUB_LNC002832)
Source: RNAcentral